RNAcentral lists this unclassified non-coding RNA (707 nucleotides) under Homo sapiens (human). Its description in RNAcentral is "novel transcript (ENSG00000277036.1)". The record is from RNAcentral. Lineage: Eukaryota; Metazoa; Chordata; Mammalia; Primates; Hominidae.
GUGAAUUGUUCUCUGUGCUCCAAACUUCUUUUAUUUGUCCCUGUGUUUAUGCUCAUAACCAUUCAUUUCCCUCUUUUCCCACUGACUUAGCCUCUGGGGUUGUAAAGAAGUUACUCGUUUAUUUUUGUGUAUGUGUGGGGUUUUGUCUUUUGUUUUCUGAGAAUAAAGUAUAUGAGAUCAUGGAAAAAAUCAGAAAACGAGGAAAAUCAUAAAUUCAUUACCAAAAUAAUUUCUGAUUUGGUAUUAUAGCUCUGCAAAUUACUUCACUAAUUGUGUUCAUAGGUACUAUGGUACACUGUACACUGUUUUGUAACUUGCUUUUUAGAUGGAUUAUAUCAUAUUUUUCUGUAUCAAUAAAUAUGAAUUCAUUACAUCAGUUUAAACUGAUCAAAAACAUUUUAAUCAAAGUAAUACAAUUAAAUUGCUAAAUAUCAUAGGGAAUCGAAGAGUUUAUAAUCCCAAACCAUACUCUUUCUUUUCCUAGCCAGCUGGGGACAUUUUUAAUUGUUUCUAUUUUCAUUCUUUCUGUUUCAGUUCUUAUAAAAAUACAUAUAUAAAAUUGGCUAAAUGAUUAAAUGUUAUAGUAGUUCUUUAAUUAUAAAUUUGAAUAAUAUUUGUUGACUUCCAAACUGCAUACCCCUUGCCUUGUCCAAGUAAAACUGUACCAUCGUUUAUUCUCUGUGUUGUCAAUAAAACACUAAGUGAUA